AAUGACGGUACUUGAGGAAUCAGCAUCGGCUAACUCCGUGCCAGCAGCCGCGGUAAUACGGAGGAUGCAAGCGUUAUCCGGAAUGAUUGGGCGUAAAGCGUCCGCAGGUGGCUGUGUAAGUCUGCUGUUAAAGAGCAAAGCUCAACUUUGUAAGAGCAGUGGAAACUACACGGCUAGAGUGCGUUCGGGGCAGAGGGAAUUCCUGGUGUAGCGGUGAAAUGCGUAGAGAUCAGGAAGAACACCGGUGGCGAAGGCGCUCUGCUAGGCCGCAACUGACACUGAGGGACGAAAGCUAGGGGAGCGAAUGGGAUUAGAUACC
RNAcentral lists this ribosomal RNA (319 nucleotides) under Anabaena sp. GS5-3. RNAcentral's name for it is "bacterial SSU rRNA". It matches the Rfam family "Bacterial small subunit ribosomal RNA", at positions 468 to 786 of the family's 1533-position model. The record is from RNAcentral. Lineage: Bacteria; Bacillati; Cyanobacteriota; Cyanophyceae; Nostocales; Nostocaceae.